This 337-nucleotide unclassified non-coding RNA is filed under the name soil metagenome. RNAcentral describes it as "partial contains 5.8S ribosomal RNA, internal transcribed spacer 2, and large subunit ribosomal RNA". The stretch from base 1 to 120 matches the Rfam family "5.8S ribosomal RNA", at positions 35 to 154 of the family's 154-position model. The record is from RNAcentral.
GAUGAAGAACGCAGCGAAAUGCGAUAAGUAGUGUGAAUUGCAGAAUUCAGUGAAUCAUCGAAUCUUUGAACGCACAUUGCGCCCCUUGGUAUUCCAUGGGGCAUGCCUGUUCGAGCGUCAUUUGUACCUUCAAGCUUUGCUUGGUGUUGGGUGUUUGUCUCGCCUCUGCGUGUAGACUCGCCUUAAAACAAUUGGCAGCCGGCGUAUUGAUUUCGGAGCGCAGUACAUCUCGCGCUUUGCACUCAUAACGACGACGUCCAAAAGUACAUUUUUACACUCUUGACCUCGGAUCAGGUAGGGAUACCCGCUGAAUUUAAGCAUAUCAAUAAGCGGAGGA